This 257-nucleotide long non-coding RNA is filed under the name Gossypium barbadense (sea-island cotton). RNAcentral's name for it is "long non-coding RNA (GBAR_LNC019212)". Lineage: Eukaryota; Viridiplantae; Streptophyta; Magnoliopsida; Malvales; Malvaceae. The record is from RNAcentral.
AAAAUUAUUAAUGUACGGUGGUUAGCCGAUGAUGGGUGACGGCGGUCACAAUGAUGGACGACUCAAAAGGGAGGGAAAAAGGGUAGCAAAUUCAUGUGGCACAAGGAAAUGGAGUGAAAAUAAAACAAUGAAAAAGAUAGGGAAAUAAUGGACCGAAGAGGAGAGAAGAGAAUAGAGAAAAUUGGUGGAAAGGGUAGUAAAGGCGGAGGCUUUAGGGGUGGUGAUGGCUUAAAAGGGUGGUGCAAGAUGGCUCAAGG